GGCAAGCGAGUCGAAAACAGAGGAGCCACUGGAGGUGAGCUAGACGAGCCGAUCGACCCCAGCUGGCCUGCAGAGGGGGAGGCAGGGGGAGGCAGGGGGAGGUAGAGGGAGGCAGAAGGAGGCUCCCAGUUGCUGCUGCUGCCUCCUCUAAAACCUUCCUCAUCCUCGUUUGAAGUGAGGAGACGCAGCAGAGAAUGCUGAGCGCUGCAGAAAAAGGCCGAAGCCAUCGAUUGGGUCUCCUGCAGGAAACUGCCUGGGGAGGAGGGGGAGGAGGAAGGGGGAGGAUGGGGGGAGGAGGGGGGAGGCCAGCCGGGUGUUUGCUGAUGUUAAAAGUUAGCUGGAGAUUGUCGGAUUAGAAGCGGCGAGGCGGCGGCGGCCCGGCGGCCCGGAGCAGCCAUCAUGGUGGCACACCGAUCAAUGGGGACGAUAAACCGAGGAGGAACCUUUCAUGUCGGAUCAAAGAGUCCAGAGUGAUGGAGAUGAGGAUGAAGGAGGUGAGACAGUUUGAGGCAUAGAGGGAGGACCCAAACAGAACAGAACAUCUGGAUUCAGUAGUUUUUUUUCUCCUUGUCAACUUGGUUUCAGCGUAUUAAGAGAUUAUGGGAGCAUGCAGUUAUAUUCAUGGUUAUUGUACAUCAGCUAUAAUCAGAGGGGCCUGACAGACAGCAAAGGCUACUGGUGUUCAGAAAUGUCAACAGUUACAAACAAGUAUCGUAUUCAGUUUUCAGAAGAGCAUUAUAAUACAGGUUUCACAGGCACUACAUUUGAUCUUUUCAAUAAUAUCGUGUAAUAUGCUGGUUUGUUUUUAUUUUCUUCUUUUUCAGGUGUAUAACUCGUUCGGUCCGAGGAAGCUGGGAUCUGGAAGGAUUGACCGAAAGGAAGGCAGAGGCUUUCACAGAGUGGAUCAAACCGAAAAGUCCACGUGAUUCAGGCGCGCGCACGUGAGCCACGCCACGUGCACGUGUGGGUGUUUUUAGUCAGUGCAUAGUUCUCAUGCAGAUUAACCUGCGCUGCUUUAGAUCGCCGUCAGGAAGCGUGAUGGGAGUUCAGACCGUCUUCCAGCUGACCUGCCCUCUGCCAGCUCGACGCUACGCUAGCACCAUGUGACCGAUCGACCAAUAGGAUCGACCAAUAGGAUCAUUAGAUACCAGAACACCUGGAGGACGCUUCAGCGCCACCUGCUGCCUCCUUCAGCUCAGCCAAUCACAGCUGGAGGAGGAAGUCCAGUUCCACUGAAGCUCCCGCCGGUCCGAUUGUUCCACGAGUUUCUGCGUUCUGCUAUAAGUCAUCUGGGGUGGAUUAAUUACCCUGCUAAGGGUUCUGCCCCCACUAAGGGUUCUAUCCCUACUAAGGGUUCUGCCCCCCCUAAAGGUUCUGCCCCACUAAGGGUUCUGCCCCCCUAAAGGUUCUGCCCCACUAAGGGUUCUGCCCCACUAAGGGUUCUGCCCCACUCCACGUUCUCAUUGUUCCCGACCCGCAGACUCACAGCAGCCCAGUUCGAUGGGGUCUCAGGUAGUGGUGGGGGGAGGAUAUGGGGAAGAUAUGGAGGAGGAUGGGGAGGAUAUAGGGGAGGAUAGGGGAGAAUAUGGAGGAGGAAGGGGGAGGAUAUGGAGGAGGAAGGGGGAGGAUAUGGGGGAGGAAUGGGGAUGGGGGAGGAUAUGGGGGGAGGAAGGGGGAUGAGGGGGGAGGAUAUGGGGGAAGACAUGGAGGAGGAUGGGGAGGAUAUGGGGAGGAUAUAGGGGAGGAUAGGGGAGAAUAUGGGGCAGGAUGGGGGAGGAUAUAGGGGAGAAUAUGGGGGAUGGGGGAGGAUUUGGUGGAGGAAAGGAGGAGGAUAUGGGGAGGAUAGAAGAGAAAGGGGGAGGAUAUAGGGAGGAUUUGGGGAAUGAAUGAGGGAGAUAUGGGGAGGACUGGUUGAGAAUUGGGGAGGGUAUGGGGGAGGAUGAGAGAGGAUAUAGGGAGAACUGGGGCGAAUUUGGGGGAGCAUAGAGGAGGAAGGCGGAGGACAUGGGGGAAGAUGAGGGAGGAUAUGGGGAAGGAUAAUCACUGCCCAGCAGAAUUUGGACAAACGCGAAGACAACGAAGGCGUCAGUAAAACCUUCAUUCAACCCUGUUUCCUGAUGGAGCGGCAGAAUCCCUCAAAUCCAAAAAUCAACUCAACGAAGGGGGAGGUGCAAAGAGGGGUGUGGAGAGGUGAGGAGGGGUGAGGAGAGGGCAGGAGGCGAAUACAAGUCUCCUGGAGUUUUAUCAGUCUUUGACUCCAGCUCUGUCCCUCGUAUUGCUGGAUUGGACGGUUUAGUGACGGCGGCGGCGGGACAGUCUGCUGGUGUAUGUUAGCAUGUGUUAGCAUGUGUUAGCCUCAGCUGGUCGGACGCAGCGUUCAGCUUCAUCACUCUUUCAGGUUCGGCUCAGAUUUGUGUGUUCGUGGAGGUGAUGAGGCCGUAAGUGGAGGAAGUUUAGCGGGCUUCCCUCCACCAACGCCGCACACCAAACUAUUUACAAAUAAUUUUAAUUUCUACGACGGCAGGUCCAGUGUGAUCAGAAUAUUGUGGGUUCAGUUUCACUUCAGCUGCUUUAGAAGAUCUUUUGGUUUGAACGACAUCAGGACAACUGAAAUAAAUCCUGUCUGGAGCUGCUGUGAGAUGUUUUAAUGUGAUCUCAGGGGAUUCCUGGGAUCAGAUCAACUUAGCUGCUAGCUCAAUUGAACCUAAAAUAAUCAGUUAGCAAAGUUGGUAGCUGCUAAGCUAACCAUUAAACCAACAUCAAAGUUUCUCAGCUGCACAGCUUAACAUUAGGCUAAUAUUAAAACUUUUAUGUGCUAAACUCCAAGUGUGUAGCAGCUAGCUUGAUAUUAAGCUAAUAGACUGAUUUAGCUCCUCAACUCAACAUUAAGCUAACACAGCGUUUUAGCUGCUGAACUGGACAUUGAGCUAACUUCAACACGUUUUAGCUGCCUAUUUCAACAAUAAGCUAACUUUAACAAGUUUUAGCUGCCUAACUCAACAAUAAGCUAACCUAAAAGUGGUUUAAUUCAAUUCGACAUCAAGCUAACAGUGUUUUAGCUGCUAAUCUGGGAAUUGAGCUAACUUUAACAUGUUUUAGCUGCUGAACUCAACAAUAAGCUAACCUAAACAAGUUUUAGCUGCCGAACUCAACAAUAAGCUAACAUGAAACUGGUUCAAUUCAACUCAACAUUAAGCUAAAUUUACUGCAUUUAAGCUGCUUAACUCAACUAUAAGUGCUGCAUAUAAAUAACUUCCCUCACAUGUCAUAUCUAUGCAUUCAAAGCUUUUGCGUACCAUUUUACACUGAUAAAACACAAAUAAAAUAGUUUAGCUUAAGAUAAAGCUCAGGCGGGAGUCAAUGCAGCUAAAUGGUUUGUAAUUAAACAUUAAAUUUUUAAAAAUGACGUUUGUGUUGCUCUUAGCAUAACGCACUUUUCUGCAUAAACCCAAAGAUCAUCCCUCAAUCAAUCAAUCAAUUAAUACGUGUUCAACAGAAAGUUCUUCUGCAACCACCAUCUGGCCACCACUAUCGAUUAUUUUCUGGAUGGAUCGAUUAGCUUUUUGGUCAAUAAAAUGUCAGAAAAUGUUGAAAAAUGUGGAUCAGAGUUUCCUCAAAUGUCUGGUUUAGUCCAAAGAUCUUCAGUUUACUGUCAGAAAGGAACGAAACCAGAAACUAUUCACAGUGAAGAAGCUGAAAUCACAGAAUUUAGACAGUUUUUCUGAAAAACAACUCAAAUUGAUUAAAUAUGAACAUAGAUGGCAACUGAUUUAAUGAUGAAUUUAUCACUAGGUCUAUAAAGGAUUAAUGGACUUUAGACACAAUAAACUGAACAUCUCUGGGUUGUAGUUUGCUGAUCGGACGACAACGAAGAUUUUCUGACAAUGUAGAGACCAAACGAUUGAUCGAGAAGAUUAAUCGAAACGCAUUUGUGGAGGUAAAAUGUCAUCAGAGGCGUGAAACUGAGCAGAAACUCUGACCAAACUGGAAACCGCCGUUGGUCUCGGCGACACGUCGUCUCGGCUGAUUAUCUGCUGCAUGUAUGUGAUGCUGUGAUGAGCAGCAGCGAUGUGUGGAUGGACCUCCAGGCUCAGGGAGGGCUGGUGAGGAGGAGGAGGAGGAGGAGGAGGAGGAGGAGGAGGAGGAGGAGGAGGAGGAGGAGGAGGAGGAGGAGGAGGAGGUGAACUUGUGGGCCAGUGAAGAAAGAAACAGAUGGAAAAGAAAAAGAAUCAUGUUGCAUAAUCAAGCUGUUUAUUUUCCUGCAUGGAAUGGUGAACACAAAAAAAGAUGCCGAGAUGCAUUUAUAGUAGGGGCAUCCUUUGGCUGCUAUGUCAUUGUCUCCUGCCUAAAACUAAAGUUUUUAAAUGCAUAAAAAAGUUCGCUUUUCUUUCCAAUUUUCCUCAGAAUUACUAGAUUUAGCUUCAUCAACACUGAUGCAACAAAGAACCUUCAAAAACAUACAGCAUACUGAAACAUCCAUUUACAAUGGUCUUAUCACCACAGCGCCCUAGACUGUGUAAGUGCAGGAAUAUGCUAUACCAUCAACAGAGGAAAUGUCCUUAAAUACAUACAAAAAGGAAAGCAAAUAAAGAAAAAUCAAGAAAAUUAGGAAACAGGAAAGUUUUCAACUUAAAUCCAGUUCCCAGAAAACAAACCAAACCAGUUCUAGUAAUGUGGCCUCGAUACAAACAAUCAGAAAAUUCACAACACUAGUUUUUCCUCAUUUAAUCAAUGUUACAAAAGUCCUGCAUUAUAAAAUAGGGCAGCUUUAAAAUCAGUGUAAUUAAUAAAACUAUACAACAUACAAACACGUCUCCCAGUCAGGCUGCUCUGCUCUCCGUCCGUCAGCAGCUAACUCUGCUCUGCGUCGCUUCGCUGAUGUACCAAACUAAAUUACACACACAACACAAGAACAAAACACACUGCCCAAACUAUUGCUUUAUAUUCUUUUUUUCUGUCUUUAAAAAGGGUGCAAUUUUGUUGUUAUCUUACACACACAGCCGAAAGUCGCUGAUUAGAUGCUAGGCUGUUUCACAAGUUUUUUUGUGACACUUUAAAAAAAUGUCCGUGCAAUUAUUUUUAUUCCCUUCACUCUUUUUAAGCCCUGGAAGCUGUUUUUUUUUUUUUUUUUUUUUUAAAUUUCAUACUUUUUCACUAUUUACUUCAUAUUUAGUGCAGAUAAUUAAUGCCCAACUCAUGGCUAAAGGGUAGGCAAGAACAGAGACAGAACAAACACGAAGAGGAAACAACCCACACAAGUGGAACGACUCGACCAUCACAGCCAACACACGACGCGUUUGAUUCGCUGAAACCUCGGCGGCAGUAAAAAAGUUCUCACUGACUGUUUUUUUUCUGUGUGAUGGAGAAGAAGUUGGACUUGUUUAAGGCUUGCUUGCGACCAAAGAAAUCAAAUAUAAAAUCUUUUAGAAAAGAGACCCGGAUGUCGUAUUGCGGCCGUCUGGUAGUUUUUUUUUUGUUUUUUUUUUAUCAAAACAGGAAGUCAGGAGGAAGGAAAAGACCCGAGCGUCGCCACCGGGUUUCACCAUUUUUAGGGACUGACCACGGAGCACGAUGGCAGUCACGUGCACGCCAACUUUGGUUGAAAGUAAAGAUAAAACUCAAUAAAGACAAAGUAAGUGAGUGCAAGCAGGUAUUGCAUAUUUGAUGUCCUCAUUAUUCAUAUCUGGGAACGAAAGUUGGAGAACGAACGAACGGAAAACAGGAAGACACGAACAGUAAACUUCUGUUGUUCGGAGUUUUGCAGCAACAGAUGUAAAAAAAAUGUCGCACCAGACGAAGGAGAAGAAAAACAUGAUUAAACUGAACUGAUCUGCAGCUUUACGCUCUGCUUCAUCGACACGCCGGCAGCAGGAAGUUUAGUCAAAGGAGCAAAACGUCUUCAGGCAUCAGGAGAAAAGUUUAUAAUUUCAGAUUAAUUACACGGUGACUUUUUUAAAAGUUGGAGACUUCGCUAACAGAAGUUCACCUGUUGCUAAACUGUACUGACAGGAUUCAAGUCAAUUUGUUAGUCAAACUGAACCAAAGUACUCAGUUAGCAAAGAGUAACUAAAGCGUUUUAGCUGCUAAGCUCAGUGUUAAACUAAAAUUAAAGUCUUUCAGAUGCUAAACUCAAAGCACUUUAGCUGCUAUUCUUCAAAUUAAACUAAAAUUAAAGUGUUUUAGAUGUUAAACUCAAUUCGGUAUCAGGCUAACUUUAAAAUGUUUCAGCUGCUAAUUCACUAGCAUUUAAGCUAGCAUUAAAAGGUUUUAGCUUCAAAAAUUGACAUUAAGCUAAGACUGAAAUGAUUUAGCUGCAAAAUUUCAAGUAUUUUAGCUGCUAAUAUUGACAUCCUACCAAUACUAAAUUGUCUUAGCUACUAAACUCAAAGCACUUUAGCUGCUAUUCUUGAGAUGAAACUAAAAUUAAAGUGUUUUAGAUGCUAAACUCAACUUCCAGUUACCUUCACCAUGUUUUAGCUGCGAAACUCAAAGUAUUCUACCUGCUAACUUCAACGCUAUAGCUGCUACACUUGACAUUAAGCUAAGCCUGUAAACCUUCAUUUUUUUUGUUGCUCAUAUCAACAUUAAACUAACUUAGCUGAUAAACAUAGCAUUAAGGUAGCCUUGAUGAAAAUGUUUCACUGUUAACUUAGCAUUCAGCUAAUCAUAAUCAAACUGUUUUAGCUGCUAAGUUUAGGUUAAUGUUGAUGUGUCGUGGCUUGUAGACUUUCAAAUAAUUUUUUAGCUUCUCAAUUCAGCAUCAGGUUAACUUUAAUUAAAAUGUUUCAGCUAUUAAUUCACUAGCAUUUAAGUUAGCAUUAAAAGGUUUUAGCUUCAAGACUCGACAUUCAGCUAAGACUUAAAUGAUUUAGCUGCAAAAUUUCAAGUACUUUAGCUGCUAAACUUGACAUCAUGCUAAUACUAAAGUGUCUUAGCUGCUAAACUCAAAGUGCUUCAGCUGCUAUUCUUGACAUUAAACUGAAAUUAAAGUGUUUUAGAUGCUAAACUCAACUUUGUUACCUUCACUAUCUCUUAGCUGCGAAACUCAAAGUCUUUUACCAGCUAACUUCAACGUGCUAUAGCGGCUACAUUUGACAUUAAGCUAUGCUUGUUAUGAUACGUUAACCUUUGUUUUUUAGUUGCUCUUAUCAACGUUAAGCUAACUUGGCUGAUAAAUGUAGCAUUAAGGUAGGCUUGAUGAAAAUGUUUUAAUGUCAACUUAGCAUUCAGCUAACCACAAUCAAACUGCUUUAGCUGCUAAGUUUAAGUUAAUGUUGAUGUGUUGUGGCUUCUAGACUUUCAAAGGUUUUUUAGCUUCUCAAUUCAGCAUCAGGCUAACUUUAAUUAGUGCUUUAGCUGCUAAUUUGCUAGCAUUUCAGCUAGCAUUAAAAAGUGUGAGCUACAAGACUUGACAUUAAGCUAAGACUGAAAUGAUUUAGCUGCUAAAUUUCAAGUAUUUUACCUGCUAAACUUGACAUCAUGCUAAUACUAAAGUGUUUUAGCUGCUAAAUUUGACAUUAAUGUAACUGCAAAGUUUUUAGUUGAUAAUCUUACCAUUAAGCUAACGUUUAAGAGUCUUUGCUACUUCUCCACUCAUGAACUAGUGAAUAUCUUCAAAUGUUAGAUAAUUAGGGCCAAAAUGUUUUGCUGCUAAUCAGAGCUAACAAAUCUGAUCAUCUGUCAGCUAAUAGGCUCACCUGAUUCAUGUGAUUCAAUGUUUUCAUCACUUAGCUGUUAUUAGUUGUUAGCUAAACAGAUAUAGCUGUCAAACUGAGUUAUUUGACCUUUAGGAUUGGCGCUAUACAUCCUUAGACAUACUUCAAGUUGCUAAACUGGAUAUUCGCUGAUGUUGUACCAUGUUUUUAGAGCUAAACUAAAAACCUAUUAAACCUGAACGAACCCCCAUUAGCUGCCCGUUAGCUAAAAUUGCCUACAGCUGAAAAUAUUUAUGUCUCUGAGAUUUUCGUUGUGGAUUAAUUUAAGUGUCCGAUUACUAAACAUGGCAUAAGUUCAGACUCGGUGCUCGUUUGACUAAGUUUCCAGGCUUCCAGGUGUCAGCAGGGAGACGAUGACCUGAUGGUAGCUGGUGUCGGUUUCACCUGUGAGGACUCGACUCGGCAGCCGGAGACCUCGUAAUACUGAGAGUUUACCAGCGACUAAUUCACAGCGUUCCUCUUCAGCUUUGACGUUUUUGCUCCUACAAAAUCUCAGGUGUGGAGGAAAACCAGGAAAAACGAAACAACCAAACGCGACUCUCCACAUGGGAUCUUGUGCGGCGACCUGUCAGGACUGGACCGUAGCUCAAGGCACAUCGAUGAGGAACAAUUGUUUUCGUGCAAUUUGAUGAGAGAGAACGUCUUGGAACUGAAAAGCAGAAUCGAUCUGUUGUUGCAGGAGGAGGAAGGAAGGAGGAAGGGAGGGAGGAGAAAUUAAAAAGAAUGGAGAGAUGCCGAGAAGCGAAGAGAGCUGGUUGUUUGUGAAGGACAGCGAUAGAAAAAGGCCUCGACAGGCCAAACUAAUAGACGGCUGCUGGCAAGUGCCUGAUGUUGGGUUUUACAAUAUAGUGUCUUUAUCUUACUAACUACAUCAUCUAUGGAAAAAUUUGUCACUAACACUAGAACAUGCAGAUUUUUUUUGUUCUUUUUUAUAGCUUUUUCACUUAAAUUCACUUUUGUUCAACGCUGGAUGGUCGUAAGAGUGUGUGUGGGUGUGUGUGUGUGUAUAUAUAUUUAUAUAUAUAUAUAGUAUAGGAAAAAGAAAAACAAAACUGAAGUUCAAUAAAAUGGUAAGUUGCAUGUGAAGCGCUCGGCUUUUUGUGGACGAAAGCUUCCAGAGAGUUACCCUCUGCUCUGCCUCUGUAUCGCUAAACCACACCCCCUGAUUACAAAUUCACGGCCUAUUGGCCAACUGCAGGAAUAAGUGCUUCUGAUUGGACGGGACCUCUAGGAGACCCAGCCAAUCCUGGGGCAGCCCGUUAGCGGGCGGCACCCGUUAAAGAUUAUCUCACCAACAGAAACCGCAGAAAACACGAUUAGCUUUAAAUUCACUCGCUAAUUUUCUCCUCAUUUUACCUCAUGAGAAACUCAAAUCGCUUUUUUAAGUAAAAUGAUUAAAAUAAAUUAAUCGCUUAGCGCUUUUUUUGUUUUAAACAAAAUGAAAAGCAGACUUUAGCUGCAACGUAAUGCUUUCAAAAAUUGAUUGUUUCAACUGAUAUUUCUUAAAGGGAUCCUGGUUCUACCAUGCUAACAGCUUUACACGAUGAACAAACAAAUACGAAACAAUAAAAGUGAGUACAGCUCCUCUUAUUUCUCACAAGGCUGUGGUUUCUAGUUCAACGCUGUGUUGUUGUCUUUUUUACCCCAGUAUUUUAGAGUCCCAGAGGUGUGAGCGGACUAGGAAGAAAAAUAUAUAUUUAUAUAUACUUUUCAACAACUGUUUUCAAAGAGCUAUCUUACAAAGAUAUUUAAUUAUCCAACAGCUAGCCAACAAAAUUGCACUUUCCUCGUGAUCAAUAUUCCACUGGAAGUCACUCAUCUCUCCUGUCUGCCUGCUCGAUUCGGACACCAGAGUUUUCUGCCACCGUUCGCAUGCUGGAGCUUCAGACCGGCGAUGGAGGAGGAGGAGGAGGAGGAGCUGAAAUGGCGGCUAAGAGAGAAAAACCAAUGAGCCAUGAAGCCAAAGCCUCCCGCAGAAACAAGCUCGGAUCCACCAGCGUCUGGUCGCAACACUUCACAUCAACAAACCCCGAACCCCCGCGUAAACCCCCCACCGCCACCCGACCGCCCGUCGCCCUCCACCUGUAGGUUCAUGGUUUUACUGUCGGUGCCCAGAAGACCUCUGGCUGGUCGGCUCUGUCCGGUACGCACUGGUCCAUGUCCUCGGAGAGAGCCUCCUGACCUGCCGCCGGCGGGGGGUGGAGCCAACCCCGAUGGUGGUGGUGGUGGAGGGUCGGGGUAUUAGCUGGUGGUAUCUGCCUCAGUUAACACUCCACUACCCCCAACCACAUCCCAUCCUGGUCCACCGACCCAAGCGGUCAGGAUCCAGUGGGAUGGGGGGUCGGAUGGGGGGUCGGAUGGUGGGAGUCGGGGGGUCGUACCACUGCAAGUCCACUGGAUUCACACUGCAAAGGAUGAUGGGAAUAUGUAGUUCCUCCAGAGGGGAAGCUCUGUGAUUGAGUCUUGCUGAAGGCCAGGCGCCCCUACGGGUCAGCCUGGUCUGGAUCAGGAGGGGGGGCGGGGUCUGGCACUAUAUAUGGACACUGACGUAUGAGUCAUAUGUCUACAGGAAGUCUAGAGUUUACAGAGCAGGUGUUUAACACCGGGGGCGGGGCCUGUAGCCAUGCUGAUGCUGCUGAGUCUGUGUAUGGCGCUGGUGGGGGCGGAGUCAGGCGCAGAGAGGGGAGGGGCUUUCUGACACAGCUGGCGUCAAAGGUGGAGGAGGAGACUGCAGCGAUCUGUCGUACAGGUGGGUGGAGGGGGCGGGGCCUCUGGAGUCCUUAUCCCAG
Molecule: long non-coding RNA, 10504 nt
Organism: Amphiprion ocellaris (clown anemonefish)
Lineage: Eukaryota; Metazoa; Chordata; Actinopteri; Pomacentridae
Source: Ensembl